RNAcentral lists this ribosomal RNA (622 nucleotides) under Enterococcus hirae. RNAcentral describes it as "bacterial SSU rRNA". It matches the Rfam family "Bacterial small subunit ribosomal RNA", at positions 75 to 676 of the family's 1533-position model. The record is from RNAcentral. Lineage: Bacteria; Bacillati; Bacillota; Bacilli; Lactobacillales; Enterococcaceae.
GGAGCUUGCUCCACCGGAAAAAGAGGAGUGGCGAACGGGUGAGUAACACGUGGGUAACCUGCCCAUCAGAAGGGGAUAACACUUGGAAACAGGUGCUAAUACCGUAUAACAAUCGAAACCGCAUGGUUUUGAUUUGAAAGGCGCUUUCGGGUGUCGCUGAUGGAUGGACCCGCGGUGCAUUAGCUAGUUGGUGAGGUAACGGCUCACCAAGGCGACGAUGCAUAGCCGACCUGAGAGGGUGAUCGGCCACAUUGGGACUGAGACACGGCCCAAACUCCUACGGGAGGCAGCAGUAGGGAAUCUUCGGCAAUGGACGAAAGUCUGACCGAGCAACGCCGCGUGAGUGAAGAAGGUUUUCGGAUCGUAAAACUCUGUUGUUAGAGAAGAACAAGGAUGAGAGUAACUGUUCAUCCCUUGACGGUAUCUAACCAGAAAGCCACGGCUAACUACGUGCCAGCAGCCGCGGUAAUACGUAGGUGGCAAGCGUUGUCCGGAUUUAUUGGGCGUAAAGCGAGCGCAGGCGGUUUCUUAAGUCUGAUGUGAAAGCCCCCGGCUCAACCGGGGAGGGUCAUUGGAAACUGGGAGACUUGAGUGCAGAAGAGGAGAGUGGAAUUCCAUUGGU